CCUACGGGAGGCUGCAGUGAGGAAUAUUGGUCAAUGGACGAGAGUCUGAACCAGCCAAGUAGCGUGAAGGAUGACUGCCCUAUGGGUUGUAAACUUCUUUUAUAUGGGAAUAAAAUGUUCCACGUGUGGGAUUUUGUAUGUACCAUAUGAAUAAGGAUCGGCUAACUCCGUGCCAGCAGCCGCGGUAAUACGGAGGAUCCGAGCGUUAUCCGGAUUUAUUGGGUUUAAGGGGAGCGUAGGUGGAUUGUUAAGUCAGUUGUGAAAGUUUGCGGCUCAACCGUAAAAUUGCAGUUGAAACUGGCAGUCGUGAGUACAGUAGAGGUGGGCGGAAUUCGGGGUGUAGCGGUGAAAUGCUUAGAUAUCACGAAGAACUCCGAUUGCGAAGGCAGCUCACUGGACUGCAACUGACACUGAGGCUCGAAAGUGUGGGUAUCAAACAGGAUUAGAACCCCAGUAGUC
RNAcentral lists this ribosomal RNA (459 nucleotides) under uncultured bacterium. RNAcentral describes it as "partial 16S ribosomal RNA". It matches the Rfam family "Bacterial small subunit ribosomal RNA", at positions 338 to 795 of the family's 1533-position model. The record is from RNAcentral.